GAUGAACGCUGGCGGCGUGCCUAAUACAUGCAAGUCGAGCGAACAGACGAGGAGCUUGCUCCUCUGACGUUAGCGGCGGACGGGUGAGUAACACGUGGAUAACCUACCUAUAAGACUGGGAUAACUUCGGGAAACCGGAGCUAAUACCGGAUAAUAUAUUGAACCGCAUGGUUCAAUAGUGAAAGACGGUUUUGCUGUCACUUAUAGAUGGAUCCGCGCCGCAUUAGCUAGUUGGUAAGGUAACGGCUUACCAAGGCGACGCUGCGUAGCCGACCUGAGAGGGUGAUCGGCCACACUGGAACUGAGACACGGUCCAGACUCCUACGAGAGGCAGCAGUAGGGAAUCUUCCGCAAUGGGCGAAAUCCUGACGGAGCAACGCCGCGUGAGUGAUGAAGGUCUUCGGAUCGUAAAACUCUGUUAUUGGGGAAGAACAAAUGUGUAAGUAACUAUGCACGUCUUGACGAUACCUAAUCAGAAAGCCACGGCUAACUACGUG
RNAcentral lists this ribosomal RNA (497 nucleotides) under uncultured bacterium. RNAcentral describes it as "partial 16S ribosomal RNA". It matches the Rfam family "Bacterial small subunit ribosomal RNA", at positions 28 to 507 of the family's 1533-position model. The record is from RNAcentral.